RNAcentral lists this ribosomal RNA (460 nucleotides) under uncultured bacterium. Its description in RNAcentral is "partial 16S ribosomal RNA". It matches the Rfam family "Bacterial small subunit ribosomal RNA", at positions 338 to 795 of the family's 1533-position model. The record is from RNAcentral.
CCUACGGGUGGCAGCAGUGAGGAAUAUUGGUCAAUGGACGAGAGUCUGAACCAGCCAAGUAGCGUGAAGGAUGACUGCCCUAUGGGUUGUAAACUUCUUUUAUAUGGGAAUAAAAUGUUCCACGUGUGGGAUUUUGUAUGUACCAUAUGAAUAAGGAUCGGCUAACUCCGUGCCAGCAGCCGCGGUAAUACGGAGGAUCCGAGCGUUAUCCGGAUUUAUUGGGUUUAAAGGGAGCGUAGGUGGAUUGGUAAGUCAGUUGUGAAAGUUUGCGGCUCAACCGUAAAAUUGCAGUUGAAACUGGCAGUCUGGAGUACAGUAGAGGUGGGCGGAAUUCGUGGUGUAGCGGUGAAAUGCUUAGAUAGCACGAAGAACUCCGAUUGCGAAGGCAGCUCACUGGACUGCAACUGACACUGAGGCUCGAAAGUGUGGGUAUCAAACAGGAUUAGAUACCCGAGUAGUC